UUAAAUGUAUUUAACAAAUGUUAAUGGUGUUUAUUUCUGGACACUAGGAUUUGAAAUUAGCUUUUCAAAAAUAUUAUUUAAACUUUCCUGCAAUAUUUACAAUGGAUAAUUAUCAUUUUUACCAAAGCAAUAAAGUGUUUUUUUUUCCUACAAGAGAGAUAUAAUGGCAUUAUGCUCACAGUGGAAAGGAAGUAAAGAGGGGGUGCUACUAAUUUGGGGAAAGAGUAGCUGAGGAGAAAGAGGGAGAUCAGUAGUUACAGUAUUAGAAGCAUUAAUUGUGUCUUUAAGGGUUAAACAGAGGCUCUCUGAAUUCUGAAUGUUACCUUAUGUUUUUAUAACAGUUUAAUUCCCAUAAACCAAUUACACCUGAGCAUUCUACUUUUAUCACCUCUCCAUCUCUGAAGGACAGGAUUCACUGUGUGGCUUAUGUCUUAGACAUCAACUCUAUUGACAAUCUCUCCUCUAAAAUGUUGGCAAAAUUCAAGCAAGUUCACAAAGAAGUAUUAAAUUGUGGUAUAGCACAUGUGGCCUUGCUUAUUAAAGUGGAUGAUUGCAGUGAGGUUCUUCAAGACAACUUUUUAAACAUGAGUAGAUCUAUGACUUCUCAAAGCCAGGUCAUGAAUGUCCAUAAAAUGCUAGGUAUUCCUAUUUCCAAUAUUUUGAUG
RNAcentral lists this small RNA (665 nucleotides) under Pongo abelii (Sumatran orangutan). RNAcentral's name for it is "retained intron". The record is from RNAcentral. Lineage: Eukaryota; Metazoa; Chordata; Mammalia; Primates; Hominidae.